CCUACGGGAGGCAGCAGUCGAGAAUCAUUCACAAUGGGGGAAACCCUGAUGGUGCGACGCCGCGUGGGGGAAUGAAGGUCUUCGGAUUGUAAACCCCUGUCAUGUGGGAGCAAAUUAAAAGAAAGUACCACAAGAGGAAGAGACGGCUAACUCUGUGCCAGCAGCCGCGGGAAUACAGAGGUCUCAAGCGUUGUGCGGAAUAAAUGGGCGUAAAGAGUGCGUAGGCUGUUUAGUAAGUAGUGUGUGAAAGGCGCGGGCUCAACCCGCGGACGGCACAUGAUACUGCGAGACUAGAGUAAUGGAGGGGGAACCGGAAUUCUCGGUGUAGCAGUGAAAUGCGUAGAUAUCGAGAGGAACACUCGUGGCGAAGGCGGGUUCCUGGACAUUAACUGACGCUGAGGCACGAAGGCCAGGGGAGCGAAAGGGAUUAGAUACCCCUGUAGUC
RNAcentral lists this ribosomal RNA (445 nucleotides) under uncultured bacterium. RNAcentral's name for it is "partial 16S ribosomal RNA". It matches the Rfam family "Bacterial small subunit ribosomal RNA", at positions 338 to 795 of the family's 1533-position model. The record is from RNAcentral.